Molecule: ribosomal RNA, 253 nt
Filed under: uncultured bacterium
Lineage: Bacteria
Description: partial 16S ribosomal RNA
Rfam family: Bacterial small subunit ribosomal RNA
Source: RNAcentral
UACGUAGGGUGCAAGCGUUAUCCGGAUUUACUGGGUUUAAAGGGUGCGUAGGUGGGCAGGUAAGUCAGUGGUGAAAUCUCCGGGCUUAACCCGGAAACUGCCAUUGAUACUAUCUGUCUUGAAUUUCCUGGAGGUAAGCGGAAUAUGUCAUGUAGCGGUGAAAUGCUUAGAUAUGACAUAGAACACCAAUUGCGAAGGCAGCUUACUACGGGAAUAUUGACACUGAGGCACGAAAGCGUGGGGAUCAAACAGG